This 506-nucleotide ribosomal RNA is filed under the name Psyllobora vigintimaculata (twenty-spotted lady beetle). RNAcentral describes it as "partial 16S ribosomal RNA". The stretch from base 380 to 506 matches the Rfam family "Archaeal large subunit ribosomal RNA", at positions 2544 to 2671 of the family's 2987-position model. Lineage: Eukaryota; Metazoa; Arthropoda; Insecta; Coleoptera; Coccinellidae. The record is from RNAcentral.
UUUUUGAAUAAUAAUUUAAAGUAGGGCCUGCCCMCUGAGUAUUUGAAGGGCCGCAGUAUAUUGACUGUGCAAAGGUAGCAUAAUCAUUAGUUUUUUAAUUGAAAGCUAGAAUGAAGGGUUUGAUGAGAAAAUAACUUUCUAUAAUUGAAUUUUAAAAACUUUAUUUUUAAGUAAAAAAGCUUAAAUUUUUAUAAUAGACGAGAAGACCCUAUAGAGUUUUAUUUUUUAUAGAAUUUAAUUUUUUAGAAUUUAAAUAUUUUUAUUUUAUGAAAAAUUUGAUUGGGGUGAUUAAAAAAUUAAAAAAACUUUUUUAUUAUAAUUACAUUAAUUUAUGAAAACUUGAUCCAUUAAAAUGAUUAUAAGAUUAAAUUACCUUAGGGAUAACAGCGUUAUUUUUUUUUAGAGUUCUAAUCGAAAAAAAAGAUUGCGACCUCGAUGUUGGAUUAAAGUUAAUUUUAGGUGUAGAAGCUUGAAUAUUUGGUCUGUUCGACCAUUAAAACUUUACA